Harpia harpyja (harpy eagle) is the source of this 1574-nucleotide long non-coding RNA. RefSeq lists it as uncharacterized. The transcript is spliced from 2 exons. Lineage: Eukaryota; Metazoa; Chordata; Aves; Accipitriformes; Accipitridae. The record is from RefSeq and is a predicted model, not a curated record.
GUGUGGAGUAAUCACAAGACCUUUCUUUUUUUAAACUGCAGUUGCUGUCUGUGUUGCCACUUCUCUGGCUGGUCACCGCUUCGCUGCACAGAAAAUCUGCCCUCCAGUCCCAUCCCACAUUGGCUACGCUGCCUGUUUGAAGACUUUGGGGCAGAAUUAGGGAUACCCGGUAGCAGCCCCCUGCCCCAGCUAUAUCUGAUAAGGAGCUGGAAUACACCUUCUGGAAACUGGCUGAAAGAUGCGGCAGCAACGACUGCAGAGCUGUCUUCAAAAUGUACUUUACAUGAGUGCAGGAACUCUCCAUCGGGAGCAUAGCGAACAUGGCCAAAGAAAAAGGAGACAAAACUUUCAGACAGUCUUCAGCCCAGGGUUCUUACAAUGUUUUAUAGUCCAGUUCCUGUGAUUAAAAGCAGGAACAUCCCAUUACUUUGUUGGAAACACGAGGUUUAAUACAAGGCCACUGUGUAAUGAAAGCCUGACACUCUCCUUACAAGGGGCAAUAACUGCAGUGGGAUUACGCCUGAAAUAUGCCGGGAGAAUAUGGCAUGGGAGAAUAUGACAUAUGGCAUAUGAAGGCAGACCUUAUAGACGGUUUGUUUGCCAAAUGAUGAUGUCAGCUAAGCUUGAGAACUCUGUGAAAUCCAGCGUGUCAGUGACUCCCUUAUUUCUCCUUUCUAAUCAGCUCUGGUGUGACUCUGUGUGUGCACCUCAGCUUUCAUGAAGUUGUAGAUCUUCAGCAUUCAAGGCCUCUGGAAGACCUUUUUUGUUAAGCUGCUUGUCAAAUGACUACUAAUUUAUCAGAGCAUACUUUGUAGUUUUAUUUGGCCAAAAUUAAAAGCACUGAAAGUGAUGAUCGCUGCAAACAGGACUAUAAAAGCCAAGGAAAAACACAUGAGCCUGUGGUUCUUAAACACUGGGACCUUAAAGAGAAAAAAGCAGAGGGCUGAGCCAAAUAAUUGCUACCGUAAUCCGUCUCUGUUGGUUGGCUGCAGUUUUCAUCAGCAAAAAAAGAGAGCAGCCAGAGGUGCAUGGAGAUUCCGGGGCAAAGUACAAGAUUUCAGCUGGUGCCAUCUCUGUGUGUCCUCCCUGAUGGGGCAGGGAGCAGCUUCCCCAGCUGGCCCUCUGCCCUCCUCUUGGUACCCAGUAACAGCACCCGGGCAAACCCUUCUGUCUAGGGAGGUAAAGCUCCCAUAAGCUAGGUAAGCCUUCAGCAGGGCUUGUGCCGGAAGAGUUUAUUUAGUAUUUGGUUUCUUUCAAAGGGAGCGCUAGGAGAACAUCUUGGUGCUGACUGGGAGUGUCAGAAGUAAAUCUGAAGUGAACCGGUGAUGCUACAAAGGUCUACAACUUGAAUGGAUAUAAUAUAAAUAGGGGAUCAUGAGCACUGGACAGGUGCAGAUGCUAACAGUAAGGCAGAUGGUGACAUUUAUUCACUGUAACAUUUAUUGACUGUAACGUUUAUUGACGGAUCAUUAAAAGGCUCCUAUCGCCUUGGCACUUCAGUACCUACUGCAUAGGAAACAGACAGAGUCAACAAAUUGUACUGUAGGGCUAAAAAUAAAAGCUCCAUCAACUCA